This 457-nucleotide long non-coding RNA is filed under the name Capsella grandiflora. Its description in RNAcentral is "long non-coding RNA (CGRA_LNC000764)". The record is from RNAcentral. Lineage: Eukaryota; Viridiplantae; Streptophyta; Magnoliopsida; Brassicales; Brassicaceae.
UCUCCGCAUUCAAUUGGUACAGAGAGAGAUAGAAAUUCAAAUUUACGAAAUCCAAAAGAAGAAGACGAAGGAAGACGAGGAUAGAGAGGCGGGAAGUACCUUUCAACUGAUCGGAAGAUUUAGAAAGGAUGAGAUCGUCAGGGAGAUCGAACUUGCCGUCGGCCAUGGCAGGAUGGAAGAAACUACCGAGUUCGUAAGAAGAUGAAGACGAACGCAGUAGAAGAAGAAACAACCGAGUUCGAGAGAAAGGGUUUUGGAGAGAUUUGGCGGAGAAACUUUUAUAAUUGUCGAUUUGCCUUUGGAAGAGAAGAGAAGAGAAGAAAGCUUUUUGUUUCGCGGCUGAGAUCGAGAGUGAGUGAAGGAGCAAUAGAAUGGAAAGGCUAAGGACGGCCUUUGCUUCUUUCUUUACAACACCGAUCCGACUUUGCCCAGGUUCUGCUUUUUUUUUUUUUCUUUC